UCAAACUUGGUCAUUUAGAGGAAGUAAAAGUCGUAACAAGGUUUCCGUAGGUGAACCUGCGGAAGGAUCAUUACUGAAUUAACGAAGUUGGGUUGAUGCUGGUCUUUCGGGACAUGUGCUCGCUCGCUUCAAAUUCACCCUUUACCCCCUGUGCACUUUUGUAGACUGUAACAGCCCUCAGUGAUUCAUCACUGGAUAGACGGAGUUGCGCUUCAGCUCUCUGUCAACGUUGCAGUCUAUUUAUCUCCAUAUACAAAGUCUUAGAAUGUCCUUUGUAGUGUCGAAAGACCUAUAAAACUUAUACAACUUUCAACAACGGAUCUCUUGGCUCUCGCAUCGAUGAAGAACGCAGC
Molecule: unclassified non-coding RNA, 353 nt
Filed under: uncultured fungus
Lineage: Eukaryota; Fungi
Description: partial contains small subunit ribosomal RNA, internal transcribed spacer 1, and 5.8S ribosomal RNA
Rfam family: Eukaryotic small subunit ribosomal RNA (bases 1-73)
Source: RNAcentral